CGGCCUAUGGUCCCUGAAGUACGAGAAUCGAACACCGACUAGUACAAGCCGGAAGUGGCGGUGCGCCUAGCGUCGAAGUACCGGCGAUCUUCAACGUUAAGCAAUCAGAG
Long non-coding RNA from Frieseomelitta varia, 110 nucleotides. RefSeq lists it as uncharacterized. The transcript has 3 exons. The record is from RefSeq and is a predicted model, not a curated record. NCBI's taxonomy places the organism in Eukaryota, Metazoa, Arthropoda, Insecta, Hymenoptera, Apidae.